Molecule: ribosomal RNA, 181 nt
Filed under: uncultured Bacillota bacterium
Lineage: Bacteria; Bacillati; Bacillota
Description: uncultured Firmicutes bacterium partial 16S ribosomal RNA
Rfam family: Bacterial small subunit ribosomal RNA
Source: RNAcentral
CCUACGGGAGGCAGCAGUGGGGAUAUUGCACAAUGGAGGAAACUCUGAUGCAGCGACGCCGCGUGAGGGAAGAAGGUCUUCGGAUUGUAAACCUCUGUCUUUCGGGACGAAGGAAGUGACGGUACCGAAAGAGGAAGCCACGGCUAACUACGUGCCAGCAGCCGCGGUAAUGCGUAGGUGG